RNAcentral lists this long non-coding RNA (7649 nucleotides) under Malus domestica (apple). RNAcentral's name for it is "long non-coding RNA (MDOM_LNC002793)". Lineage: Eukaryota; Viridiplantae; Streptophyta; Magnoliopsida; Rosales; Rosaceae. The record is from RNAcentral.
CCUGAGCGUCCACAACACCAAUUCAUAUUAUGCAUCAUAUACUAAUUCAUAUGCUGAAUAUAAAUUUAUAUGCAUGGCAUUUCAAAGCAUACUUUCAUUUAAACGCAUUUUCUGGGAAAAUAUCAAGUAUAUAAAUAUAUACUGAAAACCAAAAGCCCACUCACUGAUAUGUCGAAGGGUCGUAGCCCCCGAGCCGCCCUUGACUGCGCUCGUCCUCGGGAUAGGUCUCACCUAUAUGCGAAAUAACUGAAUAAACGUUAUUUAAAGCAUAUAGACAAAACUAGUUAAUAACUUCUCAUACAUUGCUCAAAUAGGAUUUUGAAUAUACCAACGUGAUCUACAGAACCUCACGAACAUCCCCAUAUUUUUAGAAAACUUUUCCAACCACCCACGUGCGGGUAACCUUGAAGGAAACCUAACUACCGUUAGGAAUAUUCCGUUAAAACCUUAACAAACGUUAACGACGUAACUUUUGCCGUUAGAGUAUUCCGUUAGAUUUGACGGAAUAUGCUCCUUCGUCUUCCUUAGCUUGCCGGAGUCCGGCACCGGCGACUUCUGCGUUGCCGAUUUUUGGAAAAUAAUAAAACCUUCAUUUCUCACUCAAUUUUCCACCAAAUUUCAUGAAACUUGAACCAAUUUGAAGCUUAGGACGAAUAGAACACAACCAUACCUGUUUUGGGACCUAAAAUCCAUGAAAAUUUGCCGGAGGACCUUCGAUAAUCCGGUUAAACUUCAAAUGCAUCGAUCUCGACUUUCUGACGUCCAAAUUAUGUCAUUUUUCUUCUCCGAGCUUCGUGGAGAGGUCCUUAAGCUUCGUAUAAACUUGAAAUCCUCUAAAAAUCAUGCAUUUACAACUGCAUGAACAGUACCCCCAAACUGGGAUCUUGUGUUCUCGGGUUUUCUAAGCUUUCCCUUCAUAUAAAUGGUACGAAUGGACUCAGGAGCCUACAAUGAACUCAAAGGUCAUAUUCUCCUCAUUGAUCCGUGCCUAAAUGGAAUGGUUCGAGAAUUGUCCGUACGCUUGUACGGACGUUGCAGAAAAUCGAGAGAGGGAGGAGAGAGAGUACACAGGGAAAAGGAUAAGUGUGUGUGUGGUCCUAGUUGGUUACUAACCCACAAAACAAAGUAACAAGCCUAAGUAUUUUUCCAAGAACUUAGGAAAUAUAGAAUUGUCCAACUUAAGUACAUAAUACACACAACACACUUUAACGUCCAAGGGUAAAUUAGUAACUUCCACGUUCGAGACCAAUUAAUAUUACAACAUUUCGGAACGGGUUGUGACAAUCUACCCACCUUAAAAAUUUCAUCUUCAAAAUUCAUGCACAACAAUACAUCCACUAAUAACCAUAAAACAAUCGUGGAUACAUCUCUCUUAUCCGAUCUUCUGUCUCCCAGGUAGCCUCCUCCAUAGAGUGAUUUCUCUAUAAUACUUUCACCAAACACACUGUCUUAUUUCUCAGAACCUUAUCUUUCCAAUCCAAAAUCGUCACAGGCUCCUCGUCAUAAGUCAAAUCCAGAUUAAUUUCCAAAGAUUGAUGAGGAAUCACAUGUGAAGGAUCUGCAACAUAAUGACGAAGCAUAAAGACAUGAAAAACAUCGUGCACUUUGGACAACUCUGGAGGCAACUCAAGUCUAUAAGCAACUUCACCGACUCGCUCGGGUGAUCAUAUAUGAUCCAACGUACCUAAGACUCAGCUUUCCUUUCUUUCCAAACCGCACAACACAUUUCCAUGGUGAUAGCUUCAGAAAUACCCAAUCACCUACAUUUUAUACAUCUGGUCAAUGGCAUGUCUGUCUGCUAGACUCUUUUGUCAAUCCUAGGCCGCUUUCAGGUUAGACUUAAUCAGCUGAAUAUUCUGAGUAGUCUCCUCCACUAUCUCAGGACCCACUAAAACUCUUUCAUGAACCUCUGACCAACAUAAGGGUAUGCGACAAGAUUUACCAUAAAGAGCCUCGAAAGGUGACAUACCAAAACUGGAAUGAAAGUUGUUGUUGUAGGCAAAUUCCAUCAAAUCCAACCGCUUAUGCCAAGCAUCACCAAACUGUAACACCGAUGAUCUCAGCAUAUCCUUUAACAUCUGAAUAAUACUCUUAAACUGCCCAUCUGUUUGAGGAUGAUAUGCCGUACUAUAAAGUAAUCUCGUACCAAGAGCUUCCUGGAACGCUACCCAGAACUUAGAAGUGAAUCUAGGAUCACGAUCUGAGAUAAUACUAAUUGGAACUCCAUGGUACUUCACGAUCUUCGAUAUGAAUAAUUCAGCUAAUCGGCUUAAAGAAUACUUCUCCUUCACAGGAAUAAAAUGCGCUGACUUAGUAAGCCGAUCAACUAUCACCCAAAUGCCAUCAUAACCAUUCUUUGUACGAGGAAGCUUGUACCCAAAUGACUUCUUCCUUUCAGCUUUAACCUGCUGGCAAAUGACACACCUACUCAUAUAUUCAGUAAUUUCUCUUUUCAUACCCGGCCAAUAAUAAAAUGGUCAAAUGGUAUGAUACAUUUUUGUACCUCCUGGAUGCAUUCCAUAAGCUAAAAUAUGUGCUUCAUCAAGAAUUGCCUUAUUUAACUCUGCAUUAUUCGGCACAUACAUUUUGUUCUCUUGCAUAAACAUGCAAUUAGUUUCUCGAAUUCUGAAAUAUUUCUUCUUGCCUCGAUUUCUUUCUUGAAUUAUUUCCUGGGUCUCUUCAUCAUUCAUCUGGGCUUCGAGCACACUAUAAAUCAAAAUUUGCCUAACUUGAAAAUUUGCAAGUAAGGCUUCAUUUCAAUCUUCCACUCCUAACUCCACUCUAGUGGACCUCAAAUCCGCAAGAAGAGGAACAUGACAAUCAUAGAUGGCAUUAAGUCUAGUUGGAGUCUUCCUACUAAGUGCAUCUGCCACUGCAUUUGCACGACCAGAGUGAUAUUCAAUCGUGCAAUCAUAAUCGCUAAGCAACUUAAUCCACCUUCACUGCCAAAGAUUAAGAUCCCUCUGAGUAAAAAGAUACUGAAGACUCUUAUAAUCCGUGAAGAUUUUACAUUUCUCGCCAUAAAGAUAAUGUCUCCAAAUCUUGAAAGCAAAGAUGAUAGCCGCUAACUCCAAAUCAUGAGUAGGGUAAUUCUUCUCAUGAGGUUUCAACUGUCUCGAAGCAUAAGCAAUCACCCUACCAUGUUGCAUCAAUACACAACCCAUACCAUUCAAAGAAGCAUCACUGUAGACCUCAAAAUUACCAUUAUCAUCUGGGAGUGCCAAAACAGGUGCAUAAGUGAGAUAAUACUUCAACUGCUGAAAACUUUGCUCACAAUUAUCAUCCCACUCAAACUUAACAUCCUUCCUGGUCAAUCUCGUCAAUGGUAAACAAUAACUGAAAAAUCCUUAACAAAUCGUCUAUUAUAGCCUGCUGGGCCAAGAAAACUCCGUACCUCAGUGACGGUUCGAGGUUACUCCCAAUUCUCCAUAACUGCCACUUUUUGAGAAUCCACUCGAAUACCUUGAGCUGAUAUAACAUGUCCUAAAAAUGCCACUUGAUCUAACCAGAAUUGGCAUUUGCUAAACUUAGCAUAUAACUGGUGUUCCCUCAAACUUUUCAACACCAAUUUAAGAUGUCUAGCAUGCUUUGCUAUAGACUUAGAGUAUACCAGAAUAUCAUCAAUGAAGACAAUGACAAACCUGUCCAAACAUGGCUGGAAUACUCGAUUCAUUAGAUCCAUGAAAGCUGCUGAUGCAUUAGUUAACCCGAAUGGCAUCACAAGAAACUCAUAAUGACCAUAUCGAGUCCUGAAAGCUGUUUUAGGGACAUCUUCACUUUUAAUCUUCAAUUGGUAGUAACCAGACCUUAAGUUAAUCUUAGAGAACAUACAAACACCUUGGAGUUGAUCAAACAAAUCAUCUAUACGUGGCAAUGGAUAACGGUUCUUAAUUUUUACCCGAUUCAAUUGCCUGUAAUCAAUACAUAGCCUCAAAGUUCCGUCUUUCUUCCUCACAAAUAGAACUGGAGCUCAUCAGGGGGAAGUACCAGGCUGAAUAAAACCUUUAUCCACUAAUUCCUGCAACUGAACUUUCAAUUCCCUUCAUUCAGCAGGAGCCAUUCUAUAUGGAGUCAAAGAUAUAUGAUCCGUACCUAGAAGCAAAUCAAUAGUGAACUCUACGUCUCUAUCUGGCAGCAAUCCAGGCAAAUCAUCAGGGAACAUAUUUGGAAAAUGUCUGACUACACGUACAUCCUUCACACUACUAGGAGCAUUAUCAUUCAACACCACAUGAGCCAAAUAUCCCUGACAACCCUUCGACAACAAUCUUUUGGCUUUCAUGGCAGAAAUAACACCAUGCCUCACCCCGCUAGGCUCUCCUACAAAUGUAACUUCAAAUAAUCCAGGACAAUGGAAAGUAACUGUUUUCCCGUAGCAAUCUAUCUUGGCACGAUUGUAGUAUAACCAAUCAGUGCUCAAAAUCACAUCAAAAUCAACAACGUCUAACGGAAUAAGGUUAGUUGGCAUAACAACAUCCUCCAUUAUCACUGGACAUCCUGGAUAUACCCGAUCAACAUAACAUCUCUCCCCUCUAGGAAUAGAAAACUCUAAAUCAGAUCCUAGAGAUGUAGGGUGAGGAUGCGUCACUUGAGCAAAUGUAUGAAAAACAACAGAAUGCGUAGCACCACAAUCAAUUAAUACUUUAGCAAAAUGACCAAGAAUAUUUAACGUAUCCAUGAUUAAAUCAGGAUUGUUUCUGAGCAUCAUGCAGUGUCAUAUUGUGGAUACGUCCCUGAUUUUGCUGUCGUCCACCACGACCUUUGUUAGCAUGAAUACCUCGUCCUUGUCUUGGCUAACCCGAUUGUCUCGAAGAUCUUACAUUGCUAGCAGCAAUCUCUACCUGCUGGGGCUGUCCCCCUCUGGUACCACUAGGAUCCACCUGCUGAAUGUGGCUGAUAUGGCAUAGAACCUCUCGGAUACUGUGGGUAACCACUCUGAUAAUGAGGGUCUUGCGAGUACUGAUAUUGCCUUGAAGUAUAAGAAGCGGCGUCGCCCUAAUAGUGAUAAGCACCUCCACGACCAGUUUGGGCAUAACCACUAGGUCCUAAAGCUUGCUGGAUCGGCGCAGGCAGUGGUAAGGAAGGCUGUUGAGGCCUCUGCUGGUUCUGAGGGCAAUGUGUAGCCCUAUGCCCCAUCUGUCCACAAGUAUAGCAUCUACCGCUGCCUCUCUUACACUCCCCAAAAUGACACACCUGAACCACCCUAACCACCAAAAUCCCGUUGCCUCUGAAAUCUAGGGCCUCCAGAAAAUCUACCACCUCUCAUCUGCACAUUAGAGCUUAAGUCACCACUAGAAGAGCUGGAACUGACACCACUUCUUUUAAAACUCUGGGUCUUACGAGGUCUCUGAGAUGAUUGACCUUUACCUUUAUCAUCUCACCUCUGGUUCCCGUUCUUUUCUUCUUUAUCGUCACUUUCACUAGGCAUGUUCUCUAAGCCCUCAAUCCGUAGUAAAACCUCAUAAAACUCCUGGUAAGUGGCACAGGAAGUCGAUGUCGCUAUAAAACGCCAUUUCUCCUUAGUACCCAACCUGAAACAACAGAGCAUCUCAACCGGAUUAGCAGCAACCUCCGAAUGAUAGUGAGACAAGUCAGUGAAUCUUCUAUAAUACUCAUUCACCGUCAUCUUCCCCUUCUUGAAUUGAGUAAAUUCUUGCUUUUUGCGAUCAAUAUACUCAGGGGGAAUAAACCUUUUCUGAAACAAUUGUUUAAACACUUCCCAAUCCGCAAUUUCCUCUGGGGUCAGCUGAUAAGAUUCCUAUCUCUACCAGGAUGCAGGUUCCGGACCUAAAAACCAGGUAGUCAUCUCGACCCACCUAUCAGGAGGAAGAUUCCCCUGACUCUACAUUACACGAAAAGUCUUCUCAAUAUGAUUGAUCCAUUUCUCCGCUCCUUCAUGGCCUUCAUUCCCCAUAAAAUGAUUCAGCUUCAGAUUAUACAUAGUCUCAAGAGGUGUCCUUUGAGGACGAUGGAGCGAAGACUGAAUGGCAUUAGCUAUAACUUCCCCUAAUUGAGUAAUAUCAGGGAAACUAGGCUUAGCUGAGUAACGUGGCUCUCUACGAGGUGGCAUAGUUCUGACAGAAGACAUCACAAUGAUUAGAAUAUUCACGAACUAUACAAGACUGCAAAACCUAGGCUCUAAUACCAAACUGACACCCCGACCCGAAUCAGGGCAUGCUGACCGUCACGUGAGGGUGACGUAGCCAUAUGCAUAAUGCAGAGAGAAUAAAGAUAAUAGAGAAUACGAAUAAAUGAAAACCAACUCAUAAGAGUACUAGUUAAGACAAGUGCUAGAAUAUGUGUGAAUACACAAUCAGAGCGUGAGUAGCCUAAGUUCAAUCCAGAAAAUAAAUACUAAUUAAACGACACCCAAAGAUGCCCUACAUUUGUUAUAGUUUGUCAGAACCUCCAAUCAAUCCUCGUGAGCCACCAAUGAACAAGCUUAUCUAAAACCUGGAGGGCCGCAAAACAGAAAGUGUGAGUGGGCAAAAACAAAGCUUUACAAAACCAUUUCAUUUAUCAAAUGCCCUAACCCCUCGUCGUAAAACAUUUAUAACUUUCCCAGAAAUGGAAUAUAAAUAUAUAUAUAUAUAUAUAUAUGUAUAUUUUGUUUUUUCAAAUCAUGCUUCACAUAUCCAUAUUCAUAAGUGUGCCAUGCCAAAAUAUAAAACGGAAUAAGUAACUCAGGUGAAAAUAAAUUCAUGCAUAAAUAACAUAUUAGUUGGAACCCUUGCAAAGGUAUGUACUGCUGAAUUUAUAGCUCAUUAGUCAAUCUAGUUGGAGUCAUUGCAAGUGAUCUAUACGGCACUACAUUGCACAUGAGUUGGAACAACUGCAAAGGUUUGUACGACAAGACAGGGUGUAAUAUAGUUAUGCUCAAUGCUAUGCUCUCAUGAUAGCUGUGCGAUAAAUUGCUAGUCGCCUACGAAUCAGAACCACCUAUGAACUAUACACCUAAAUUGGAUCCAAUGUGAGCAUAUGGUGCGGGAUGUGACAUUAUAAAUAGGCAUGUACUAGAUCUCUAGCUAAAUCACAAUCACCCAGGGUGCAGGUUUAUGAGCUCUCAACCACGUGUCACAUUAUCAAUAUCUCAUAUAACAAAACAUUACUCACCUGGUACUUAUCUGAGCGUCCACAUCACCAAUUCAUAUUAUGUAUCAUAUACUAAUUCAUAUACUGAAUAUAAAUUUAUAUGCAUGGCAUUUCAAAGCAUACUUUCAUUUAAACACAUUUUUUUGGAAAAUAUCAAGUAUAUAAAUAUAUACUGAAAACCAAAAGCCCACUCAUUGAUAUGUCAAAGGGUCAUAGCCCCCGAGCCUCCCUUGACUGCGCUCGUCCUCGGGAUAGGUCUCACCUAUAUGCGAAAUAACUGAAUAAACGUUAUUUAAAGCAUAUAGACAAAACUAGUUAAUAACUUCUCAUACAUUGCUCAAAUAGGAUGUUUGAAUAUACCAACGUGAUCUACAGAACCUCACGAAUAUCCCCAUAUUUUUAGAAAAAUUUUCCGACCACCCACGCGCGGGUAACCUUGACGGAAACCUAACUGCCAUUAGGAAUAUUCCGUUAAAACCUUAACAGACGUUAACGGCGUUACCUUUUGCUGUUAGAAUAUUCCGUCAGAUUUGACAGAAUAUGCUCCUUUGUCUUCCUCA